AUAAAAACCAAUAUACAAAUGUAUAAAAACUAUCCAUCAUCAAUUUAAAAACAAAAUCACAAUCAACUGCAUAAUUCACCCUACAUCAGUACAGUGCAGCCCCUGUAAGAGCUCCCCACCGUUGCCAGACCCCCAGGCCCAGCGGUAGUAACCAUUUGAACUUACAACCGUGGGAAAAAAACAGCUCUGCGACCAAUUCUCGCAUUUAGGACCAUUGCCGCAUCCUGUGGUCACACAAUUGCUACUCGUGCGCUUCACAACUGGCUUGGGACAAGCAGUCCAUGGAGAACAUGGCAGGAAAAUAUCUUCUUAGAUGAUGACGGCACUGUCCAGCAUCGGGG
This is a non-coding RNA of Python bivittatus (Burmese python), 341 nucleotides long. Lineage: Eukaryota; Metazoa; Chordata; Lepidosauria; Squamata; Pythonidae. The record is from RefSeq and is a predicted model, not a curated record.